GACGAACCGUGCGAACGUUGUUCGGAAUCACUGGGCGUAAAGGGCGCGUAGGCGGCCUUCUAAGUCAUGCGUGAAAUCCCCGGGCUCAACCCGGGAACUGCGACUGAUACUGGAAGGCUUGAAUCCGGGAGAGGGAUGCGGAAUUCCAGGUGUAGCGGUGAAAUGCGUAGAUAUCUGGAGGAACACCGGUGGCGAAGGCGGCAUCCUGGACCGGUAUUGACGCUGAGGCGCGAAAGCCAGGGGAGCAAACGGG
RNAcentral lists this ribosomal RNA (253 nucleotides) under uncultured bacterium. RNAcentral's name for it is "partial 16S ribosomal RNA". It matches the Rfam family "Bacterial small subunit ribosomal RNA", at positions 524 to 776 of the family's 1533-position model. The record is from RNAcentral.